This 558-nucleotide ribosomal RNA is filed under the name Curvularia spicifera. Its description in RNAcentral is "eukaryotic LSU rRNA". It matches the Rfam family "Eukaryotic large subunit ribosomal RNA", at positions 50 to 623 of the family's 3401-position model. The record is from RNAcentral. Lineage: Eukaryota; Fungi; Ascomycota; Dothideomycetes; Pleosporales; Pleosporaceae.
GCGGAGGAAAAGAAACCAACAGGGAUUGCCCUAGUAACGGCGAGUGAAGCGGCAACAGCUCAAAUUUGAAAUCUGGCUCUUUCAGAGUCCGAGUUGUAAUUUGCAGAGGGCGCUUUGGCUUUGGCAGCGGUCCAAGUUCCUUGGAACAGGACGUCACAGAGGGUGAGAAUCCCGUACGUGGUCGCUAGCUAUUGCCGUGUAAAGCCCCUUCGACGAGUCGAGUUGUUUGGGAAUGCAGCUCUAAAUGGGAGGUAAAUUUCUUCUAAAGCUAAAUAUUGGCCAGAGACCGAUAGCGCACAAGUAGAGUGAUCGAAAGAUGAAAAGCACUUUGGAAAGAGAGUCAAACAGCACGUGAAAUUGUUGAAAGGGAAGCGCUUGCAGCCAGACUUGCUUGCAGUUGCUCAUCCGGGCUUUUGCCCGGUGCACUCUUCUGCAGGCAGGCCAGCAUCAGUUUGGGCGGUGGGAUAAAGGUCUCUGUCACGUACCUUCCUUCGGGUUGGCCUUAUAGGGGAGACGCCAUACCACCAGCCUGGACUGAGGUCCGCGCAUCUGCUAGGA